RNAcentral lists this ribosomal RNA (1005 nucleotides) under uncultured Verrucomicrobiota bacterium. RNAcentral describes it as "bacterial SSU rRNA". It matches the Rfam family "Bacterial small subunit ribosomal RNA", at positions 509 to 1504 of the family's 1533-position model. Lineage: Bacteria; Pseudomonadati; Verrucomicrobiota. The record is from RNAcentral.
CAGCAGCCGCGGUAAUACGGAGGGUGCAAGCGUUGUUCGGAAUUACUGGGCGUAAAGGGUACGUAGGUGGUAUUGUGUGUCGGAUGUGAAAGCCCAUGGCUCAACCAUGGAAUUGCAUUCGAAACUGCAAAACUAGAGUACAGGAGGGGAGAGCGGAAUUCUUGGUGUAGCGGUGAAAUGCGUUGAUAUCAAGAAGAACACCGGCGGCGAAGGCGGCUCUCUAGAAUGUUACUGACACUGAUGUACGAAAGCUGGGGGAGCGAACAGGAUUAGAUACCCUGGUAGUCCCAGCCGUAAACGGUGUGAACUUGGUGUAGGGGGUAUUGACCCCCCCUGUGCCGGAGCUAACGCGUUAAGUUCACCGCCUGGGGAGUACGGCCGCAAGGCUAAAACUCAAAGAAAUUGACGGGGGCCCGCACCAGCGGAGGAGCAUGUGGCUUAAUUCGAUGCAACGCGAAGAACCUUACCAGGGCUUGACAUAUACCUGCACGCUCUCCGAAAGGAGAGAAGCUUUCGAAGGUGGUAUACAGGUGCUGCAUGGCUGUCGUCAGUUCGUGCCGUGAGGUGUUGGGUUAAGUCCCGCAACGAACGCAACCCUUGUGUUUAGUUGCCACUCCUGGUGUUAAGCCAGGAAGCACUUUAAACAGACUGCCCGUGCAAGCGGGAGGAAGGUGGGGAUGACGUCAAGUCAGUAUGGCCCUUACGCCCUGGGCUGCACACGUGCUACAAUGGCAGGUACAGUGGGAAGCAAUGCCGCGAGGUGGAGCAAAUCCUCAAAACCUGCCCCAGUUCGGAUUGGAGUCUGCAACUCGACUCCAUGAAGUUGGAUUCGCUAGUAACGGCGUAUCGGCUACGACGCCGUGAAUACGUUCCCGGGCCUUGUACACACCGCCCGUCACAUCAUGAAAGCCGUCUGCACCCGUAGUCGUUGAUCCAACCCGCAAGGGAGGAAGACGCCGAAGGUGUGGGUGGUGAUUGGGAUGAAGUCGUAACAAGGUAACCGUA